UACGCUCAAGCAUAUUUAGUUCGGGAAUUUUUAAUGUUUUACAAGUAUUUUUGCAUAUUUAUAAAACAUUACGUAGUUUAUUCUUACAAAAUGUGCUUUUGUCUUUGGUAAGGAACAUUCACGAUAUAAUUUUUGCAAAUCAAUUCAAUUACAUCUAUUAAACCUAACCUCUUUGACUAUUUUAGUUUUAUUUUCAGAAAAUUUUUGUGACCGCGCGCAAUGCGAUCAGUAGAGUCAGUGCUUCUUGUGCAAUAAAUUCUUAAAUAUUUUUCAGAGUGCAAUAGCUCAAUUAAAUUAUAUAAUUAUUAAUUAUAAUGAUAACACGCGAGAUUAAAGUUUUUGUUCGUCGAUUACAAAGUAAACCGAACGGACGAGCUUGUAGCCUUUUAUUUUUCUUUUCUUUCAUACAUAUCUUUUUUUGAUAUUCGUUUUCGGUAUUAGAGUCAGUGUUUUCUCAAGAGGAUAAAAUCUCUCUAGGAUACAAGAAUAUGUGGUUUCAUGAAAGAGAAACACUCUAACUGUGAAGAUCAGAAGCGUAAUCGGUGGUGGAGUCCACGCACGACGCAAAAAGGGAACUUUUUUGCCGCGGCAGAGAGAACGCCAACUCCGUUGCAAUUUCCAUUCCCAGCAAAUGAUCCGUGGCAAGAAAUCUCUGUUGAUCUCUCUGGAGCCGGCGGAUAAAGAAAUUAAAAAGUUUGCUCGUAAUCUGGGAAAGCAAGAAGAAUGGACGCAAGACGGAAGAAGGAGGGUUUCUACGUGGACCAAGGAGAAGUGGACAUGACCGAAGAUUGCCACACAGGAGGCUGCGUAGAUAAGGGCUGCAUGCAAAAGUGGAUCAUUACACGGGCAUAAAGGCGAGGCAGCCAGGGCUAGGGCAAUAAAUACUUCAAUCAGUGGCCUCUAAGGCGUCAGUUAGCAUCGCGGCGGUGCGUCGGAGACAGCAGCGCAGCGGCGGCUUCGCAAAGAGCCUGAAUCCUUCCACUUUGGUCCCAUUCGACUAAAGUAUGCCCGCCCUCUCUGACAGCCAGCUGCAGCCGUUCGCCAAACAGGCACCCCUUUGUCGUCGAUCUGCAUAACUCUCGCGCGUCAGGCCAAACGCCACUUUUGACGACGCGGAAACGCUCUAUUUUCAGUCAACUUUAGUUCUGGAGAACCAUUAAAACUUCUGGUUAUGGGGUUGGGUCUCCUAAGCCAGAUUCCUCGCUUUGUGCUUCUUUUGCAUUUUUGAAUUUCUCAAUUUUUUAGAAUUUAUUCUUUUUCUAAAUAUUAUAAUAAAUACUUUAUUUGAGAUA
Molecule: long non-coding RNA, 1292 nt
Organism: Bombus huntii
Lineage: Eukaryota; Metazoa; Arthropoda; Insecta; Hymenoptera; Apidae
Exons: 2
Source: RefSeq, a predicted model, not a curated record